This 504-nucleotide ribosomal RNA is filed under the name uncultured Polyangiaceae bacterium. RNAcentral describes it as "bacterial SSU rRNA". It matches the Rfam family "Bacterial small subunit ribosomal RNA", at positions 28 to 507 of the family's 1533-position model. Lineage: Bacteria; Pseudomonadati; Myxococcota; Polyangiales; Polyangiaceae. The record is from RNAcentral.
UCAGACGAACGUUAGUCGGCGUGCCUAACACAUGCAAGUCGUACGAGAAAGGGGCUUCGGCCCCGGUAAAGUGGCGCACGGGUGAGUAACACGUGGGUAAUCUUCCCUUGAGCGGUGGAUAACAUUCCGAAAGGAGUGCUAAUACAGCAUAAGACCACGACCUCGAAAGGGGUUGAGGUAAAAGACGGCCUCUAUAUAUAAGCUGUCACUUGGGGAUGAGCCCGCGGCCCAUCAGCUAGUUGGUAGGGUAAUGGCCUACCAAGGCGAAGACGGGUAGCUGGUCUGAGAGGAUGAUCAGCCACACUGGAACUGAGACACGGUCCAGACUCCUACGGGAGGCAGCAGUGGGGAAUCUUGCGCAAUGGACGAAAGUCUGACGCAGCGACGCCGCGUGGGUGAUGAAGGCCUUCGGGUUGUAAAGCCCUGUGGGGAGAGACGAAUAAGUGUAGCCUAAUACGUUACAUGAUGACGGUAUCUCCUUAGCAAGCACCGGCUAACUCUGUG